Caenorhabditis elegans is the source of this 407-nucleotide microRNA precursor. The record is from Ensembl. Lineage: Eukaryota; Metazoa; Nematoda; Chromadorea; Rhabditida; Rhabditidae.
UUCAUUAUUCCUCCAAGACGGCCUACGGAAUGGCUGUCCCUUGUUUUCUAUUGAUUUUUUUUGGUAAAUUCCUUAACGGCUCUUUUAAUGGCUCCUUGAAAAGAUCGGACAAUAUCACUGGAUCUUCAAAUAUGUGGAUUUCAACGUGGCGGAAAUGUAUUAGAAAAAGGUGUAGAAGGAUGUUGGAAAAUAAGAAUCUAUCAAGACUACCACCGCUAAGCGAUAGCAUCACACCAAUUUACUAGGCUACCACGAAAUGCUCAUAUGCCUCUGGACAAUGCGAUUGAAAAUAAUCUACCGUUUCUGAGCGGAAUCUCAAACUUUUCCAUCUUGCAAGUAUAGAAGGAAACCCAAACUUGGGAACAAGCAUCGAGCAUUCCUACGACAUGGAGGUCCCUGGAUAUAUA